Equus caballus (horse) is the source of this 365-nucleotide long non-coding RNA. RefSeq lists it as uncharacterized. The record is from RefSeq and is a predicted model, not a curated record. NCBI's taxonomy places the organism in Eukaryota, Metazoa, Chordata, Mammalia, Perissodactyla, Equidae.
GCUGCCUGUUUUUGCUGAGUGGUCUUCACAAAUCUGAGCAGAUUGAUGAGAGCAGCAGGUGUCACUCCUGGAAUACGACUCGCAGCCCCAAUCUAAGAAUUGAAACCACAAGAGAAACAUGAAGAUACAAGGAGAAAAAACUUCUGCUGAAAGUUGUCACACCUGGAUGUGACACCUGGAACUACAACAGCCAUUUUGCAAUCAUCAGGACAGCUAGCUUGAAGAUGAUCCAAGAGCGUCAUAAUGGAGAUAUGGAAGGAAUCUGAAUUCUUGGAUGUUGUGGGCUGCUGAAUUAACCAACUUUAGAGCUUAUCUACUUGCAGACUUCUUGUUAGGUAAUAAAUUCUCCUUUUUGUUUAAACUCA